Molecule: ribosomal RNA, 492 nt
Filed under: uncultured bacterium
Lineage: Bacteria
Description: bacterial SSU rRNA
Rfam family: Bacterial small subunit ribosomal RNA
Source: RNAcentral
GAUGAACGCUAGCGGCAGGCCUAAUACAUGCAAGUCGAACGGAUAUAUGUUUUUCGGAAUAUAUAUUAGUGGCGCACGGGUGAGUAACACGUACAUAACUUGCCCUCAAGCGGGGGAUAGCCUUGGGAAACUGAGAGUAAUACCCCAUAGAAUUAUUGGACGGCAUCGUUUGAUAAUUAAAACUACGGUGCUUGGGGAUAGAUGUGCGUCUGAUUAGCUAGUUGGUGGGGUAACUGCUCACCAAGGCGACGAUCAGUAGGGGGCGUGAGAGCGUGGCCCCCCACACGGGUACUGAGACACGGACCCGACUCCUACGGGAGGCAGCAGUAAGGAAUAUUGGUCAAUGGAGGGAACUCUGAACCAGCCAUGCCGCGUGAAGGAUGACGGCCCUCUGGGUUGUAAACUUCUUUUGGAUGGGGGCAAAAAACGGGNUUUAUCCUGGACUGACGGUACCAUCAGAAUAAGCACCGGCUAACUCCGUGCCAGCAGCCG